Ictidomys tridecemlineatus (thirteen-lined ground squirrel) is the source of this 73-nucleotide non-coding RNA. The record is from Rfam. NCBI's taxonomy places the organism in Eukaryota, Metazoa, Chordata, Mammalia, Rodentia, Sciuridae.
UGGGAUGUAGCUCAGUUGGUAGAGUGCUUCCCUCACAUGCACAAGGCCCUGGGUUCAAUCCCCAGCACCACAA